Molecule: long non-coding RNA, 385 nt
Organism: Anopheles arabiensis
Lineage: Eukaryota; Metazoa; Arthropoda; Insecta; Diptera; Culicidae
Exons: 3
Source: RefSeq, a predicted model, not a curated record
CAAAGUUCAUUUGGGAAGGAUUAGUGCCGGAAGAUGCAGCGAAAAUCAUUAAGUGUUAAUAGAAAAGUGUUUAAGUAAAUCGUGAAAGAUGUCAACGCAGGCGUAAAUGCAGUAUGUUUUGUUACAUUAUCUACGGCUAUUUCAUUACCAAAGCUCCUGAUACCAGAUCAAAGCAGGUGAAUCUGGCUAGAAGUGAAGAUCAAAGCAGAUGAAACAGAGUUGCCAUUUAACAUAAAAUAUCUUCGUGAUCUGCAAACGCAUCAAACAGCAAGUGUUUCUCUUCCAACAGCACGCACCAUCGGUUGAUCAAGCAGCCAACGAUUUGAUCGUCAGUACGCGCCAUCAAGAAUUGAUAUUUUGCCAAAUAGUACUGUGAAUAAAAAAA